GAUGGACGCUGGCGGCGUGCCUAAUACAUGCAAGUCGAGCGAACAGACGAGGAGCUUGCUCCUCUGACGUUAGCGGCGGACGGGUGAGUAACACGUGGAUAACCUACCUAUAAGACUGGGAUAUCUUCGGGAAACCGGAGCUAAUACCGGAUAAUAUAUUGAACCGCAUGGUUCAAUAGUGAAAGACGGUUUUGCUGUCACUUAUAGAUGGAUCCGCGCCGCAUUAGCUAGUUGGUAAGGUAACGGCUUACCAAGGCAACGAUGCGUAGCCGACCUGAGAGGGUGAUCGGCCACACUGGAACUGAGACACGGUCCAGACUCCUACGGGAGGCAGCAGUAGGGAAUCUUCCGCAAUGGGCGAAAGCCUGACGGAGCAACGCCGCGUGAGUGAUGAAGGUCUUCGGAUCGUAAAACUCUGUUAUUAGGGAAGAACAAAUGUGUAAGUAACUAUGCACGUCUUGACGGUACCUAAUCAGAAAGCCACGGCUAACUACGUG
Molecule: ribosomal RNA, 497 nt
Filed under: uncultured bacterium
Lineage: Bacteria
Description: partial 16S ribosomal RNA
Rfam family: Bacterial small subunit ribosomal RNA
Source: RNAcentral